RNAcentral lists this ribosomal RNA (90 nucleotides) under Serinus canaria (Common canary). Lineage: Eukaryota; Metazoa; Chordata; Aves; Passeriformes; Fringillidae. The record is from RNAcentral.
UUUUGCUAUAUAGGGCUGGAAGCACCUGACCUCGUCUAAACUUGGAAGCUAAGCAGACCAGGGUCUGUAGGUAGCUGGAUGGGGCGAAAA